AACUAGCCCAGAUCGCAACGGCAUCUUUUUUGUCGUGAGGAAUUAGCUUGGGACAAAAAAGAUAGAGUGGAGAGCUGGAAAAAGC
This 85-nucleotide small RNA is filed under the name Chryseobacterium sp. 8AT. RNAcentral describes it as "Flavo-1". It matches the Rfam family "Flavo-1 RNA". Lineage: Bacteria; Pseudomonadati; Bacteroidota; Flavobacteriia; Flavobacteriales; Weeksellaceae. The record is from RNAcentral.